This 606-nucleotide long non-coding RNA is filed under the name Rattus norvegicus (Norway rat). Its description in RNAcentral is "long non-coding RNA NONRATT024249". Lineage: Eukaryota; Metazoa; Chordata; Mammalia; Rodentia; Muridae. The record is from RNAcentral.
AGAAACACCUCCCGUCACAUAAUUGUCAAAACACCAAACGCACAAAAUAAAGAAAGAAUAUUAAAAGCAGUAAGGGAAAAAGGUCAAGUAACAUAUAAAGGCAGACCUAUCAGAAUCACACCAGACUUUUCACCAGAAACUAUGAAGGCCAGAAGAUCCUGGACAGAUGUCAUACAGACCCUAAGAGAACACAAAUGCCAGCCCAGGUUACUGUAUCCUGCAAAACUCUCAAUUAACAUAGAUGGAGAAACCAAGAUAUUCCAUGACAAAACCAAAUUUGCACAAUAUCUUUCUACAAAUCCAGCACUACAAAGGAUAAUAAAGGGUAAAGCCCAACAUAAGGAGGCAAGCUAUACCCUAGAAGAAGCAAGAAACUAAUCGUCUUGGCAACAAAACAAAGAGAAUGAAAGCACACAAACAUAACCUCACAUCCAAAUAUGAAUAUAACAGGAAGCAAUAAUCACUAUUCCUUAAUAUCUCUCAACAUCAAUGGCCUCAACUCCCCAAUAAAAAGACAUAGAUUAACAAACUGGAUACGCAAUGAGGACCCUGCAUUCUGCUGCCUACAGGAAACACACCUCAGAGACAAAGACAGACACUACCUCA